AAUCCAAAAGAGACAUGCAAUCAGCGAUGUCCAGUAUUCCCAAAUCGCACUCCGGGGAGACAGCCAAGUAUUUCGCAUGGUUGUAAAGUCGCGGGAUCCACUUUUUAAAAUUCCAAAGACGACUCAGAAUUGCUCAUCAAAACUGAAUUCGACGGAGCAUAUAUGGAUUUUGGUGUCUGCGACAAAGCUGCGCUCAUUGUACUUGGUGCAACAUUCUCUCAGGUUUUUUUUUUUCUGUUACUCACAAGUCUGAGCGCGGCUCGAUCAGGUUGAAGCCCCCGAGUCCUCACAGGCGGAUCAGUGAUACACCUGCGAUCGCAGGCUGCUACAAUUAGCCUGCAGGAGUCUCUAUAUCCCCUCCUACCGCCGAUGCUAUCUGUCUACUGGCAAGUACCACGGCAACAGCCGAGUCGGACUCCCGCACCGCCGAGGAGGAGGAGAACUGCGCCUGCGGAACUUUGGGUUGCCUCGAUUCUGUCGCCCAAGACAAAUAAAGAAAAGCGUUACACGAGGAAUGCUGAGGGAUCUGAACGCACUUUAAACAUUCAGAAAAUGCUUAUUGCAGUUUAAUGACUCCAGCAGUUCCAGUCAUGAAACCUGUUCAUAUAACACAGAGAUACUUUGUGGAGGUAGAAAAGCCGCUCCGCGACGCUCCUCUCCAGUUACGCACGGUGAUUAGCCUACACGAGGCUGGUUAUUGAAGAACGCCCAAAAAGGAUCUUUGUUACACAGUGUUCAAAUUAAAAAAAAUCAUCUAGUUUGUGCUGGAUGGAAGGUGGUGCAGAAAGCCGGGCAUUUGUGUGCGUCUGACGACCCUCCUUCCACGGUGCCACUAGAGGCACGCGUCGUUACGCAUACUUGUCAACUAUGUCCAAGAAGUAUUUUAUGGAGGUGAGAGGGAUCCGACUAAUGCCCCGGUACUUUUCCAGCUAUGCACUGAGAUGGAGAUUUUUUUUUUUUUCUUUGCCUCAAGCAAAGAAGAUGGAAACUCCCUGGCUGCCUGCAUUAUUGUGAACGGGAUGAAUUAUUUGCAUGAGGGAAAUAAGUGUCAGCUGAGGGUUGGGCCAUUGACAAAGCAGACUUCUUAUCGCUGUUCUCUGAGACGUUCUGUCUGUGUCAAUGAGUACAUUAAACCCCCAUAACUGCCCUGUGCCUAUCUGGCUGUUCAUUUUUCAUGCCUUAUGAAGAGCCAUCAUAUACAAGCUACAGGCUGUGCUUCUCGUGUCUCUCUCACCACUGCAGUGGAGGUGGCAAAGCACAGCUGAAAAUAUUGAAUUACCUGUUUAUGGCACAGAUUUCAGCAAGGAGGCUAUAUUAUGCAUUUUGCCUAAAACAGAUAUCUGAAACUUCUAGCAUCAUCAAAAGGCUAAAAAUAAAAACUUUGGAAGGAUGAAA
Long non-coding RNA from Micropterus dolomieu (smallmouth bass), 1395 nucleotides. RefSeq lists it as uncharacterized. Lineage: Eukaryota; Metazoa; Chordata; Actinopteri; Centrarchiformes; Centrarchidae. The record is from RefSeq and is a predicted model, not a curated record. The transcript has 2 exons.